Molecule: ribosomal RNA, 497 nt
Filed under: uncultured bacterium
Lineage: Bacteria
Description: partial 16S ribosomal RNA
Rfam family: Bacterial small subunit ribosomal RNA
Source: RNAcentral
GAUGAACGCUGGCGGCGUGCCUAAUACAUGCAAGUCGAGCGAACGGAGGAGAAACUUGCUUUUCUGAUGUUAGCGGCGGACGGGUGAGUAAAACGUGGAUAACAUACCUAUAAGACUGGGAUAAAUUAGGGAAACCGGAGCUAAUACCGGAUAAUAUUUUGAACAGCAUGGUUCAAAAGUGAAAGACGGUCUUGCUGUCACUUAUAGAUGGAUCCGCGCUGCAUUAGCUAGUUGGUAAGGUAACGGCUUACCAAGGCAACGAUGCAUAGCCGACCUGAGAGGGUGACCGGCCACACUGGAACUGAGACACGGUCCAGACUCCUACGGGAGGCAGCAGUAGGGAAUCUUCCGCAAUGGGCGAAAGCCUGACGGAGCAACGCCGCGUGAGUGAUGAAGGUCUUCGGAUCGUAAAACUCUUUUAUUAGGGAAGAACAUAUGUGUAAGUAACUGUUCACAUCUUGACGUUACCUAAUCAGAAAGCCACGGCUAACUACGUG